UUGAUUGGUGCUUGCAUCAUGAUUUACAUUUGAGUGAGUGGCGAACUGGUGAGUAACACGUGGGAAACCUGCCCAGAAGCGGGGGAUAACACCUGGAAACAGAUGCUAAUACCGCAUAACAACUUGGACCGCAUGGUCCGAGUUUGAAAGAUGGCUUCGGCUAUCACUUUUGGAUGGUCCCGCGGCGUAUUAGCUAGAUGGUGGGGUAACGGCUCACCAUGGCAAUGAUACGUAGCCGACCUGAGAGGGUAAUCGGCCACAUUGGGACUGAGACACGGCCCAAACUCCUACGGGAGGCAGCAGUAGGGAAUCUUCCACAAUGGACGAAAGUCUGAUGGAGCAACGCCGCGUGAGUGAAGAAGGGUUUCGGCUCGUAAAACUCUGUUGUUAAAGAAGAACAUAUCUGAGAGUAACUGUUCAGGUAUUGACGGUAUUUAACCAGAAAGCCACGGCUAACUACGUGCCAGCAGCCGCGGUAAUACGUAGGUGGCAAGCGUUGUCCGGAUUUAUUGGGCGUAAAGCGAGCGCAGGCGGUUUUUUAAGUCUGAUGUGAAAGCCUUCGGCUCAACCGAAGAAGUGCAUCGGAAACUGGGAAACUUGAGUGCAGAAGAGGACAGUGGAACUCCAUGUGUAGCGGUGAAAUGCGUAGAUAUAUGGAAGAACACCAGUGGCGAAGGCGGCUGUCUGGUCUGUAACUGACGCUGAGGCUCGAAAGUAUGGGUAGCAAACAGGAUUAGAUACCCUGGUAGUCCAUACCGUAAACGAUGAAUGCUAAGUGUUGGAGGGUUUCCGCCCUUCAGUGCUGCAGCUAACGCAUUAAGCAUUCCGCCUGGGGAGUACGGCCGCAAGGCUGAAACUCAAAGGAAUUGACGGGGGCCCGCACAAGCGGUGGAGCAUGUGGUUUAAUUCGAAGCUACGCGAAGAACCUUACCAGGUCUUGACAUACUAUGCAAAUCUAAGAGAUUAGACGUUCCCUUCGGGGACAUGGAUACAGGUGGUGCAUGGUUGUCGUCAGCUCGUGUCGUGAGAUGUUGGGUUAAGUCCCGCAACGAGCGCAACCCUUAUUAUCAGUUGCCAGCAUUAAGUUGGGCACUCUGGUGAGACUGCCGGUGACAAACCGGAGGAAGGUGGGGAUGACGUCAAAUCAUCAUGCCCCUUAUGACCUGGGCUACACACGUGCUACAAUGGAUGGUACAACGAGUUGCGAACUCGCGAGAGUAAGCUAAUCUCUUAAAGCCAUUCUCAGUUCGGAUUGUAGGCUGCAACUCGCCUACAUGAAGUCGGAAUCGCUAGUAAUCGCGGAUCAGCAUGCCGCGGUGAAUACGUUCCCGGGCCUUGUACACACCGCCCGUCACACCAUGAGAGUUUGUAACACCCAAAGUCGGU
This 1386-nucleotide ribosomal RNA is filed under the name Lactiplantibacillus plantarum. RNAcentral describes it as "bacterial SSU rRNA". It matches the Rfam family "Bacterial small subunit ribosomal RNA", at positions 69 to 1431 of the family's 1533-position model. The record is from RNAcentral. Lineage: Bacteria; Bacillati; Bacillota; Bacilli; Lactobacillales; Lactobacillaceae.